GUCGUAACAAGGUUUCCGUAGGUGAACCUGCGGAAGGAUCAUUAGUGAACGCCCUCACGGGCUUAUAACUAUUCCAAACCUCUGUGAACCGUGCCCUUCGGGGCUAUUUUACAAACAUGGUGUAAUGAACGUCAUAUAUCAUAACAAAACAAAACUUUCAACAACGGAUCUCUUGGCUCUCGCAUCGAUGAAGAACGCAGCGAAAUGCGAUAAGUAAUGUGAAUUGCAGAAUUCAGUGAAUCAUCGAAUCUUUGAACGCACCUUGCGCCCUCUGGUAUUCCGGAGGGCAUGCCUGUUUGAGUGUCAUGUAGACUCAAUCCCUCGGGUUUCCGAGGAGGUUGGACUUGGGUGUUGCCGCUCUGCCGGCUCGCCUUAAAAGACUUAGCGGGAUAGCACCGUAGUCGGCGUAAUAAGUUUCGUCGGUGAAGGUUGUGAUGACUGCUUACAAUCGCCCUCGGGCAAUUUUUGACUCUGACCUCAAAUCAGGUAGGACUACCCGCUGAACUUAAGCAUAUCAAUAAGCGGAGGAAAAGAAACUAACAAGGAUUCCCCUAGUAGCGGCGAGCGAGGCGGGAAGAGCUCAAAUUUGAAAGCUGGCGUCCUUCGGGCGUCCGCAUUGUAAUCUAUAGAGGCGUUUUC
RNAcentral lists this ribosomal RNA (639 nucleotides) under uncultured fungus. RNAcentral's name for it is "eukaryotic LSU rRNA". The stretch from base 153 to 306 matches the Rfam family "5.8S ribosomal RNA". Lineage: Eukaryota; Fungi. The record is from RNAcentral.